AACGAACGCUGGCGGCAGGCUUAACACAUGCAAGUCGAGCGCCCCGCCAGGGGAGCGGCAGACGGGUGAGUAACGCGUGGGAACGUACCUUUUGGUUCGGAACAACUCCGGGAAACUGGAGCUAAUACCGGAUAAGCCCUAACGGGGAAAGAUUUAUCGCCGAAAGAUCGGCCCGCGUCUGAUUAGCUAGUUGGUGAGGUAACGGCUCACCAAGGCGACGAUCAGUAGCUGGUCUGAGAGGAUGAUCAGCCACACUGGGACUGAGACACGGCCCAGACUCCUACGGGAGGCAGCAGUGGGGAAUAUUGGACAAUGGGCGCAAGCCUGAUCCAGCCAUGACGCGUGAGUGAUGAAGGCCUUAGGGUUGUAAAGCUCUUUUGUCCGGGAAGAUAAUGACUGUACCGGAAGAAUAAGCCCCGGCUAACUUCGUG
RNAcentral lists this ribosomal RNA (431 nucleotides) under uncultured bacterium. Its description in RNAcentral is "partial 16S ribosomal RNA". It matches the Rfam family "Bacterial small subunit ribosomal RNA", at positions 29 to 507 of the family's 1533-position model. The record is from RNAcentral.